This 761-nucleotide ribosomal RNA is filed under the name Escherichia coli. RNAcentral's name for it is "partial 23S ribosomal RNA". It matches the Rfam family "Bacterial large subunit ribosomal RNA", at positions 475 to 1238 of the family's 2925-position model. Lineage: Bacteria; Pseudomonadati; Pseudomonadota; Gammaproteobacteria; Enterobacterales; Enterobacteriaceae. The record is from RNAcentral.
CCUGACUGACCGAUAGUGAACCAGUACCGUGAGGGAAAGGCGAAAAGAACCCCGGCGAGGGGAGUGAAAAAGAACCUGAAACCGUGUACGUACAAGCAGUGGGAGCCUCUUAAUGGGGUGACUGCGUACCUUUUGUAUAAUGGGUCAGCGACUUAUAUUCUGUAGCAAGGUUAACCGAAUAGGGGAGCCGAAGGGAAACCGAGUCUUAACUGGGCGUUAAGUUGCAGGGUAUAGACCCGAAACCCGGUGAUCUAGCCAUGGGCAGGUUGAAGGUUGGGUAACACUAACUGGAGGACCGAACCGACUAAUGUUGAAAAAUUAGCGGAUGACUUGUGGCUGGGGGUGAAAGGCCAAUCAAACCGGGAGAUAGCUGGUUCUCCCCGAAAGCUAUUUAGGUAGCGCCUCGUGAAUUCAUCUCCGGGGGUAGAGCACUGUUUCGGCAAGGGGGUCAUCCCGACUUACCAACCCGAUGCAAACUGCGAAUACCGGAGAAUGUUAUCACGGGAGACACACGGCGGGUGCUAACGUCCGUCGUGAAGAGGGAAACAACCCAGACCGCCAGCUAAGGUCCCAAAGUCAUGGUUAAGUGGGAAACGAUGUGGGAAGGCCCAGACAGCCAGGAUGUUGGCUUAGAAGCAGCCAUCAUUUAAAGAAAGCGUAAUAGCUCACUGGUCGAGUCGGCCUGCGCGGAAGAUGUAACGGGGCUAAACCAUGCACCGAAGCUGCGGCAGCGACACUAUGUGUUGUUGGGUAGGGGAGCG